Pelobates cultripes (western spadefoot toad) is the source of this 203-nucleotide non-coding RNA. The record is from the annotation of a GenBank genome assembly. Lineage: Eukaryota; Metazoa; Chordata; Amphibia; Anura; Pelobatidae.
CAUCACUUGACAACGUACUACACCUAUCAAAACUACUCUUAGCCUGUAGCCUUUGUCAAAAACAUACAACAGAACCCAACUGCUUGCAUUACGACAAAUGGCCUUGACUGUCCAUACUUCACACUGGGACAAUGGGUGUGACAGGGAUGCCCCUUAUUACUGCUGCUGUUUAACCUAUCCCUAGAUCCACUGUUGCAAGCCAU